Non-coding RNA from Bos taurus (domestic cattle), 72 nucleotides. The record is from Rfam. NCBI's taxonomy places the organism in Eukaryota, Metazoa, Chordata, Mammalia, Artiodactyla, Bovidae.
UCCCUGGUGGUCCAGUGGUUAGGACUUCAGCUUCCAAUGCAGGGGAUGCAAGUUCAAUCCCUGGUCGGGGAG